GGUAAUUCCAGCUCCAAAAGCGUAUAUUAAAGUUGUUGCAGUUAAAAAGCUCGUAGUUGAACCUUGGGCUUGGCUGGCCGGUCCAUCUUUUUUGAUGCGUACUGGACCCAGCCGAGCCUUUCCUUCUGGCUAGCCUUUUUGGCGAACCAGGACUUUUACUUUGAAAAAAUUAGAGUGUUCAAAGCAGGCCUUUGCUCGAAUAUAUUAGCAUGGAAUAAUAGAAUAGGACGUUAUGGUUCUAUUUUGUUGGUUUCUAGGACCAUCGUAAUGAUUAAUAGGGACGGUCGGGGGUAUCAGUAUUCAGUAGUCAGAGGUGAAAUUCUUGGAUUUACUGAAGACUAACUACUGCGAAAGCAUUUACCAAGGACGUUUUCAUUAAUCAAGAACGAAAGUUAGGGGAUCGAAGAUGAUCAGAUACCGUCGUAGUCUUAAC
RNAcentral lists this ribosomal RNA (433 nucleotides) under Lodderomyces parapsilosis. Its description in RNAcentral is "SSU rRNA". It matches the Rfam family "Eukaryotic small subunit ribosomal RNA", at positions 578 to 1030 of the family's 1831-position model. The record is from RNAcentral. Lineage: Eukaryota; Fungi; Ascomycota; Pichiomycetes; Serinales; Debaryomycetaceae.